RNAcentral lists this ribosomal RNA (497 nucleotides) under uncultured bacterium. RNAcentral describes it as "partial 16S ribosomal RNA". It matches the Rfam family "Bacterial small subunit ribosomal RNA", at positions 28 to 507 of the family's 1533-position model. The record is from RNAcentral.
GAUGAACGCUGGCGGCGUGCCUAAUACAUGCAAGUCGAGCGAACGGACGAGAAGCUUGCUUCUCUGUUGUUAGCGGCGGACGGGUGAGUAACACGUGGAUAACCUACCUAUAAGACUGAGAUAACUUCGGGAAACCGGAGCUAAUACCGGAUGAUAUUUUGAACCGCAUGGUUCAAAAGUGAAAGACGGUCUUGCUGUCACUUAUAGAUGGAUCCGCGCUGCAUUAGCUAGUUGGUAAGGUAACGGCUUACCAAGGCAACGAUGCAUAGCCGACGUGAGAGGGUGAUCGGCCACACUAGAGCGGAGACGCGGUCCAGGCUCCUGCGGGACGCAGCAGUAUGGAAUCGUCCGCAAUGGUCGAAAACCUGACGGAGCAGCGCCGCGUGAGUGAUGAAGGUCUUCGGAUCGUAAAACUCUGUUAUGAGUGAAGAACAUAUGUGUAAGUUACUGUGCACAUCUUGACGGUACCUAAUCAGAAAGCCACGGCUAACUACGUG